CAUGUGCUCUUCACGCGAUGUCGAUACUCCGGGUUUUUUGUUCUGUCGACGAUAAGCAACAUCCUAUUUUUCAUUUGUCGACAGAUCGGGCUGACACACUUAAAAACAUCAACC
Molecule: long non-coding RNA, 114 nt
Organism: Haliotis rubra (blacklip abalone)
Lineage: Eukaryota; Metazoa; Mollusca; Gastropoda; Lepetellida; Haliotidae
Exons: 4
Source: RefSeq, a predicted model, not a curated record